Long non-coding RNA from Bos indicus x Bos taurus (hybrid cattle), 2206 nucleotides. The record is from Ensembl. Lineage: Eukaryota; Metazoa; Chordata; Mammalia; Artiodactyla; Bovidae.
CUACUCUGCCCUUCCCAACCCCCCUCCGGGUCUGGGGCAAACGCCAUCUCUGCUUCUGGAACUUUCGGGUGGGGCUGCGGGACGCUCUGCUUUCCUCUCAACGUCUUCCAAGAACCCUGGGGCGUCCGUAGAAGUUUCUGGAAGGCGGCGCUCAAAAAUGAAGGUUUAACCUCUCAGGUUCCUGCAGCCCAGACUGCAGGUUUGGGAGGGGUGAGAGGUGGGAAGAAGAGGGGAAGGGACGGGGGGUGGGUGGCGGGGUCACAGGGCCUAGAGCGGCUGAGGUCAAGGACGGGGUUGCCUGGGGUCCCGGGGAGACCUGGCCCGGUGACGUUGUGGCCACGCCCACCAGGAGGUGGGGAGGCGGCGGUCACUUGCGCCUGCUCAAUGGAGCCACGCCCUCUGCCUCAGGCCACACCCACCACCACUCCAGGGCUCCCGGGGACCGCCCCUCCUCGGGCAGCUCGGACUCUGGACUCACGGACCUCAGCGCCCAAAGGAUCAGUGUCUCCUGUUACUCACCGCAGCCUCCAACCAUCGCCUCGCUACUCUCUGUGCACCCACCCACUCCAACACCUGGCAUUUUCCUUCAACUGCACCCUUCAAGUCCACAGACACACAGGCCUCAGGCCUUCGCCUCCAUCACCGGCCCAGUGAAAAGGCAGCUUGCCCAAGAGGCCAGAGCACAGAUGCCUCCCCACCCCACCCCACAGCUGCCCACUCAGCCGAGAGAGAGAGAGAGAGAGAGGCCGCGCCCAGCGCAGGCCCGUGUGCAAACAGUGCUUUAGACAACCUCAGGCAUCGUAUUUCAUGAGUGAGCCAAAUGUAGAAAGGAUUAGCUGUUUCAGCCAGUAAGCCCACAUCUGUAGUUACAUUCUAACAGGGAUAAAAUUACCCUGGUUAUUAAUCCUUCUGCUUUAGGGUAUAAGCUGAUCACCAGCUGGGGUCAGGAAAAAAAUCCUGCCCCAGCUCCUGCCAAUCUCCCGUCGACCCCCAUCCUCAGUUGCCCCAUCUCCUGUGGUGUACCAGUGCAGUUUCUGUCUGCAAACCAAGUUCAAGGCCACCAACGGAAGCACCUCUAAGACAGGACAGCUCCAGUCUGUUCUGGAGACGACAGCCAUUCAAUCACGUGAGUUUGCACUGAGAAUCUACUUCGGUUUCUACUGUGGCACAGAGACAAUUCCUGCACAGCCCUUCUUUUUUUCGUGCCAACCAGAGUUGAAGUGGGCAGUCAGAAACCAUGCCUGGUUUCUGAGACUUCUGCCCUGAGGCGCCGGAGGUGUAUCAGGUGGCCUGGGGGAAGCCAGUGUGGCUAUUUCCAAGCCCACUGCCAACAAGGAAAGGAGCCAUUCCCUCUCGCCUCUGCUGAUGGGGUGUCUCCCUCUUGUGAGCAGGCGGAGAGGCCGGAGUAGCUGUGUUUCCUUCUCUGAUCCGUUCUCUUUGGACCUCAUAACUGCAGGCACUGGAGACUUGCAGAUGUCUCCAUUUCCCUGGGUGGGACCAACAGGAGAGACACAGGUUGAGAACCAGGACUUAGCCUUUCCAGAUCAUUAGGAAUGACAACCCACAAGAAGUGACAUCCCUGCGAGGCUGAGUAAGGGCUGACCACAUGAUCUAGCAUCAUAGGGACCUGUCAGUAAUGAAAAGAAGUGCCAUGGAUAAUCACAUGGGACUUUCCUGAGUAUGGCUCUCCCAGAUGGCACAGUGGUAAAGAUUCUACCUGCUAAUGCAGGAGACACAAGAGACAUGGGUUUGAUCCCUGGGUCAGGAAGAUCCCCUGGAGAAGGAACUGGCUACCCACUCCAGUAUUCUUGCCUGGGAAAAUCCCAAGGACAGAGGAGCUUCGCAGGGUACAGUCCAUGUCACACACAUGCACACACACAUUCCUGACCAAAACAGACUGGAUUCACCUAAUCUGAGGUCAUCUAUGCUGGGAAGGGCCAUGAACAGGAUACCACUGAGACGACAGUGUCAGCUUCUCCUGAUGAGGUCCCUGCGUCCCUUCCUGUGGACCCAUCUCCAGCGACCUCAGCCCUCUGCCCCCGCCCCAGGCUCCUGUGCCCCCUCUACCUGAAGCAGCUAUCUUUCCUCUCUCCAGUGCUGGAUCAGCCCAACUGUCUGUUUUAUUGGUGCCAGGUCCAGCGUUAAGAGAUAAUAGACUGUCAUCAAUAAUGUUCAUCCGGUGAAUAAAUCUGGGCUGACCCCUUCA